Molecule: long non-coding RNA, 201 nt
Filed under: Carica papaya (papaya)
Lineage: Eukaryota; Viridiplantae; Streptophyta; Magnoliopsida; Brassicales; Caricaceae
Description: long non-coding RNA (CPAP_LNC016334)
Source: RNAcentral
UUUGAUACACAAUAGAAGGAUAUGAUAGAUCGAUCUUUUUUAGUUUUUAGAUAGUAAAUAGAAUUCCUCCAUUCUAUUUUAUUCACUGGUACUGAUCAUUGAUACUGACAAAAGAGUUUCCUUUCUUUUGUCUCAUCCAUGAUCUAACCUGAACGAGUCGCACAUACACCCUAGUACACGUUCCUCAACGCUGAGGACAUC